ACGCGAAACGCCCCUCGGGCGACCGGGGGACGUCGUCUCGGCGUGGUGGCCGGGGCCUGAUGAGCAGCUGGAG
RNAcentral lists this non-coding RNA (73 nucleotides) under Rhodobacter sp. TJ_12. The record is from RNAcentral. Lineage: Bacteria; Pseudomonadati; Pseudomonadota; Alphaproteobacteria; Rhodobacterales.